AUCUGUAAAAAAAACAUUUGAUGGUCAAGAUCAGUUCCCAAAACAUUAAUAUAUUUUUUUAAUAAAAAAUCAAAAUUGAGGGAAUCAAUACACAAAACCAGAAACUAGGAUCUCAUCUUCCUCACAAAAAACACAAUUUUCUACCAAACACUACUGCACAACACCAUCACAAUCACCACCAUCUCAAAAAAACAAAAAAAUAAAGUACAAUGAAGAACAAAAAGAAACAGAACAGAGCAAAGAAGGAAGAAGGAGCGAAGAUCUCGCCGUUGACCGCGAGCACUUCACAGUUCACUCUUUCUUUCUCGCCGGACCUCCGCCGGUUCUUUCUCUCUCUCUCGUCGGUUUGCUCAGUUAAUGGUUGAGAUCAAUUGGCAUUAGGAGGAGGCAUCAUCACUCUAUAUUGAGAUGGUGGGUGGUGGUUGUGUGGUAGUGUUUGGUAGAAAAUGGUGGGUUUUAUGAGGAAGAUGAAGAUCAUGAUUUCUUCAAUUUUGAUUUCAAUCAUUAAAUGUUUUUUUGGUUAUGUGUAUUCUGGACUAUAUUUUGGGAACUCAUCUCAGAUGUUUUUUUUUACACAUGGCAUUCAUCUACACAUUCAAUAGGUUAAACGGAGAGUUUAUCAAAUGGAGGGAACC
Molecule: long non-coding RNA, 635 nt
Filed under: Trifolium pratense (red clover)
Lineage: Eukaryota; Viridiplantae; Streptophyta; Magnoliopsida; Fabales; Fabaceae
Description: long non-coding RNA (TPRA_LNC008884)
Source: RNAcentral